Molecule: transfer RNA, 76 nt
Filed under: Candidatus Palibaumannia cicadellinicola
Lineage: Bacteria; Pseudomonadati; Pseudomonadota; Gammaproteobacteria
Description: Candidatus Baumannia cicadellinicola tRNA-Glu
Rfam family: tRNA
About the family: Transfer RNA (tRNA) molecules are approximately 80 nucleotides in length. Their secondary structure includes four short double-helical elements and three loops (D, anti-codon, and T loops). Further hydrogen bonds mediate the characteristic L-shaped molecular structure. tRNAs have two regions of fundamental functional importance: the anti-codon, which is responsible for specific mRNA codon recognition, and the 3' end, to which the tRNAs corresponding amino acid is attached (by aminoacyl-tRNA synthetases). tRNAs cope with the degeneracy of the genetic code in two manners: having more than one tRNA (with a specific anti-codon) for a particular amino acid; and 'wobble' base-pairing, i.e. permitting non-standard base-pairing at the 3rd anti-codon position.
Source: RNAcentral
GUCCCCUUCGUCUAGUGGUCUAGGACGCUGCUCUUUCACGGCAGCAACAGGGGUUCAAGUCCCCUAGGGGACGAGA